RNAcentral lists this ribosomal RNA (576 nucleotides) under uncultured bacterium. Its description in RNAcentral is "bacterial SSU rRNA". It matches the Rfam family "Bacterial small subunit ribosomal RNA", at positions 338 to 916 of the family's 1533-position model. The record is from RNAcentral.
CCUACGGGAGGCAGCAGUGAGGAAUAUUGGACAAUGGGCGCAAGCCUGAUCCAGCCAUGCCGCGUGCAGGAAGACGGUCCUAUGGAUUGUAAACUGCUUUUGUACAGGAAGAAACACUCCCUCGUGAGGGAGCUUGACGGUACUGUAAGAAUAAGGAUCGGCUAACUCCGUGCCAGCAGCCGCGGUAAUACGGAGGAUCCAAGCGUUAUCCGGAAUCAUUGGGUUUAAAGGGUCCGUAGGCGGUUUAAUAAGUCAGUGGUGAAAUCUGGUCGCUCAACGAUCAAACGGCCAUUGAUACUGUUAGACUUGAAUUAUUAGGAAGUAACUAGAAUAUGUAGUGUAGCGGUGAAAUGCUUAGAUAUUACAUGGAAUACCAAUUGCGAAGGCAGGUUACUACUAAUGGAUUGACGCUGAUGGACGAAAGCGUGGGGAGCGAACAGGAUUAGAUACCCUGGUAGUCCACGCCGUAAACGAUGGAUACUAGCUGUUCGGAGCAAUCUGAGUGGCUAAGCGAAAGUGAUAAGUAUCCCACCUGGGGAGUACGUUCGCAAGAAUGAAACUCAAAUGAAUUGACGG